RNAcentral lists this ribosomal RNA (460 nucleotides) under uncultured bacterium. RNAcentral describes it as "partial 16S ribosomal RNA". It matches the Rfam family "Bacterial small subunit ribosomal RNA", at positions 338 to 795 of the family's 1533-position model. The record is from RNAcentral.
CCUACGGGAGGCAGCAGUGAGGAAUAUUGGUCAAUGGGCGCGAUCCUGAACCAGCCAAGUAGCGUGAAGGAUGACUGCCCUAUGGGUUGUAAACUUCUUUUAUCUGGGAAUAAAGUGCAGUAUGUAUACUGCUUUGCAUGUACCCUAUGAAUAAGGAUCGGCUAACUCCGUGCCAGCAGCCGCGGUAAUACGGAGGAUCCGAGCGUUAUCCGGAUUUAUUGGGUUUAAAGGGUGCGUAGGCGGGUAGGUAAGUCAGUUGUGAAAGUUUGGGGCUCAACCCUAAUAGUGCAGUUGAUACUGGCAGCCUUGAGUACGGUAGAGGUAGGCGGAAUGCGUGGUGUAGCGGUGAAAUGCUUAGAUAUCGCGAAGAACUCCGAUUGCGAAGGCAGCGUGCUGGAGUGUAACUGACGCUGAUGCUCGAAAGUGUGGGUAUCAAACAGGAUUAGAUACCCUGGUAGUC